This 2562-nucleotide long non-coding RNA is filed under the name Centruroides sculpturatus (bark scorpion). Its description in RNAcentral is "uncharacterized LOC111620792". Lineage: Eukaryota; Metazoa; Arthropoda; Arachnida; Scorpiones; Buthidae. The record is from RNAcentral.
CUCAUAUUCAACCAUAUCGGCAGUCUUCCUUUUCCAAAAAAAUUCUCUUUUAUCGUGAUGUUCCAUCUGGCUUACGAGACGAAACAUUACGUUAUAUAAGCCCCUGUCAGGUAUUUCAAUUAUAUGAAGACAAACUAAUAUUAAAUUAUCCAAAUACUGUAUAAAAAUACAGUAAUUUUGAAACGAAAAACAAAAUUCAUAUAAUUUACUUGAAAAUGUAAUAAUUAUUUUGAUACUAUUAUUAGAGAAACAAUAAAGACAGUUGUUGCAUUCUAAGACCGUUUAUUUAGGAAUUUUUAUCUUUGAAAUAUCUGUUAGAUUUCCAGUGGAAUAAUUUCGUACAUUAGUCUAAUGCCCGGGAGCACGCUUUCGUCUCACGUGCAACCCGACAACUCAAAUCCAAGAAUUGUCGAUAUCGUCACGUUAUUGAUAUGUCAUUUAUUAUUACAGGAUUGCUAAAUAUUUAACAACUGGUAUACCACAAUUACACGCACCAUCUGACCCGUUUGGAGCGCAAUAACCUGUCCUUGGCGAAAGGUAAGUAAGUAUUAAUCCGUCUAUCGGCACGAAUUUUAGAUCCAGAAAGAGGUAAACGGACAAGGUCGAUAGAAACCUAAGAAAAACGACUGACGAUAUAACGGUGUAACGGUGUUUGAAAAAGAGUGGUAAAUCGUUGGAAAGACAUUAAAGUCUUUAGACAAUGACCCAACCCAGACUGCACUGUAUUAUGAACGAAUAAGAAGUAGCACGAAUUUCAUUAUUCGAAGACUGGACGUUUCAUCAGUUUCGUUACAACACAUCCUUACAAACACCCCUCGCCAUAACAUUCACAAUUGAACCAUUAUCUAGUUCGUUCGUCGCAUCCAAUCAUUUACGUAUCACGCUUCGUUACCGUAAACGACACCGUCACGUAACACAAACACUGUUCUCCAAAAUCCAACCCCUAGGUCCUGGUCCUGGGAAGUGGAAACGUCACUCGACGUUUUCCAGUGGCAGAUGAAGGGGCUCUGGUAUACCGGAUAUACACACUGUAGUUCUCUUAAUCUUCUCUGUGCAACAAUGUAUUAUAUUUGUAUUUUUUGUUUCCUGCGUCCAGGACCGCAUUAAAUCAGGACAUAUCCAUCCGAAUAGCCUCGUGUCAAUAUUUUUUCUUCUAUAUCUGUAACUGUAAAAUAACCCUUGAAAUAGGACUGGGGGCAUCGUAUCUACAUAAAAAAAAUAUUUAAAAAUGAUUUUAUGUAAAUAAAAGGAAUAAAGUUGUGGAGAAAGUUGUAAUAAAGUUGGAUUUUACCUGACAGGUAUACCUGAACAGGUGCGCCUUCCGGUAUACUCGAACCUAUCGAUGGCGGAUCUGCGAGUUUUUUUAUUUAUACUUUGAUGGUUAUCGCUCCUCGUGGGGCUUCCGUAUUAUUUUCUGAGUUUUCAUUACGUGUGUAACACCUGAACAGGCGCUAUUUUGAGGGAGGCAUUUCGCCUGUCGGAAGAUCGCCCACGUUUCGCGUUGGCGUAACAAAUAAAAGAAAUGAAAUAAUUUCAUGCUUGUUUCGUGUUAUAUUUUAAUUUAUAGGUGAUAAAAAAUGGGUAUGAAAUUAUGGUGAUGAAAAAUUGUUAUCGAGCUUUAUUACAGGGCGAUGAACUCGCUUGUAAUAAAGAUGUAUUUAUUACAGAUGGUCAUCGCGUUAAUACGUGAAUUAACCUAUAAAAUCACAGCUUUUUUCUCGGAAAAUAGAGGAAAAAUAUGCCGUUUGUAUAUCAAAUAUACAAAAUAUAGAAACGGUCAGGAAAUAAAUUAAUGAGUCAUUAAAAAUCGACAAUAUUGUUUAAAAUCACAACUAACGGUCCUCGGUAUUUAAUCAAAGGCAUACACUCCUAAUUUGCUAAAAACUGUCGAAAAGUUAUUGGGUUAAGUGAAUUUAUUAGCUUCAUUUGUUACUCAUAUCGAAUUGUCUCGUAUCAUACUUAUACACAUUAUCGUCACCUUACCAAAUUCGUUUGCAUUUUGACUGCUAAAUAACUGUAUGCAGAUUGAACAGUGGUAAUUACUACCUGGUGUAUAUAUAUGUUAAGGCUGAAGCCCUGAAAUCUGCUUGUAAGCUAGGUAAAGCGCAACAUUGGUAGAUUGUCACUCGCUUUGCCCAAAGUAAAAAUUAGGCAGUUAAUCCUAGUUUAUGGCAGUGUUAAAUAUUUUCAUUGGCAAAUAAACCAAAUAAAAAUCAGUACUGUAUAAAUAUAACAAUUAAGAAAUUUAUAGAACGAAAAUAAACACCUGGAAUAUAAAUGAAUAUUUCACGUGAUUCGCUGUAUGACGAAUAGCACGUGCGACGUAGUCAAGUUUAUUCUACAUCCAAAUAUCACGUGACUGAUGAUAUUUGUGAAUAAAUCAUAGCGUUUCGGAUCGUCACAAACGGUGCUUUUAACUCGCUUACAAAGAGGAAACACGAGAAAUGAAUAAGUUCACGUUUAUAUUCGUCAUUAUCGUAAUUGUUCUCUCGAGAAGCGGAGAAGGUAGAAACAGAAAUGCCCAAGACCGCAGUUCCAUUUACGACCUAGUGACGUUGAAUA